Molecule: long non-coding RNA, 1532 nt
Organism: Rattus norvegicus (Norway rat)
Lineage: Eukaryota; Metazoa; Chordata; Mammalia; Rodentia; Muridae
Source: RefSeq, a predicted model, not a curated record
UUUUCUGCCAAAAAUAUGAAAAUUAAAUGGUAUCAGUUUAAAAAUAUAACAGAAAAUGUAUAGGGAAGAGAAAGACAACCAAAAAACAAGAAACAGGAAGGGUAUAAAAAUCCAUAGACUGACUCAGAAUGAAGAGAACAGCCAAGGCAGGGAGCCUGUGUUUUCUGUGUUGGAAGAUGGCUACCUGGAACUCCAUUGGAAGAGCGGUGGAAGCAACUUAGAAUGAAGAGUCUUCAUUUUACUUGUUAAAUAUUGAAUUGUAAAGAACUUGAGAAAAAGGCACCAAUUAAAUGUUCAACAUUUUCAUUAUGUUAAAAACUACUGAAAGUUGGCACAAGCUCCCAGGCUCUGAUCCACAUGGCUGCCUCACUUCAGAUGCCAGGCACCAGUUCAAGUGAAGUCUUUUCUAACUAAACAGCUGUACAUCAUCAGCUCCCAUGAAAUACGUGUGGGUUUGAUAAUUUCAUAAAAUGGCUCAUGGAACUCAAGAAAACAAUUUACUUUUAACCACUUACCAUAAAGACUGGCAAAAUGAUUACUCUUGAUGUGCAUGUAUUACACUGGAAAUGGUCCUGAGCAGGACAAGAAACCAAGAAGCUCACAAACCUUGCACAGUCAUGGACAGUACCUAUGGACCACAGUUUGAUGACCACACAUCACUCAAAUACCCUGAACAGGAAAUUCGCAUCAUCAUCUCCAUCCACUUUGACCAGAAUCUGUUGAGGGCAGUAUGUUUUCAUGUUUGUUUUAGAUGUGUCAUUUUAUGUGUAUGAGUGUUCUACUCCAAUGUCUAUCUGUGUAUCCCAGGCAUGUCUGAAGUCCACAGAGAUCAGAAGAAAAACCUGGGUAGCUAAGACAGGAAGAUUAUAAGUUUAAUCAAGGCCAUUCUACCUAAAUUGUAGCAAAUUAUUGUUGUUGUUGUUGUUGGUGGUGGUGGUGGUGGUAGUGGUGGUGGUGAUGGUGGUGUUUAAUUAAAAGGAAGAAAAAGAAAUUCAAAACCUGAAGGUUGAAGUGGGUGAAGGGCAGGAAGAAAGGGCAGGAAGGGUGGGUCAGGUUACAGACUCCCUGGACAACGCUGAGAAAGGUGUUUGGUGACCUUGCAGUUGUCAGAGUCCACUCCCUCCCUCUGGCAGGUGCAGACCAUCUGCUCCUAAACCCAAGACAAACUUGAAUUAUUACUUUACUUUAUCAGUGUCUUGUGACGUUACAUGCACACUAGGUUACAGGGUAUGGAUCUUAAACGCCUCCCCAACUUGCCCUUGAAAUCCUUUGAGAACAAGAAAUCUUUUGCUCCUAAGAUCCAAAGGUCUACCUUUCCUUUCAGGAUCCCAUUGUGCUGUUAUUCUCCUUGUCCUGCUGACCUGAGGAAAAUUGAAGACUCUGUCCCUUCUUGACCCCAUCAACAGUAUCCCUGAGUGCUGUGUCUUACAGUAAAAUUCUUAUCUAGACCUGACCACUUGUCCUCAAACUAUAAGCUGUGAUGCUGUAAUCCUUCUAAUAAAGCUUAUCUACUGGGUAAUUCUUUCUACAAA